This 180-nucleotide unclassified non-coding RNA is filed under the name uncultured Rhizobiaceae bacterium. RNAcentral's name for it is "partial 16S-23S ribosomal RNA intergenic spacer". The stretch from base 134 to 180 matches the Rfam family "tRNA", at positions 1 to 45 of the family's 71-position model. Lineage: Bacteria; Pseudomonadati; Pseudomonadota; Alphaproteobacteria; Hyphomicrobiales; Rhizobiaceae. The record is from RNAcentral.
CACGGAGAUGCUUUUGCAUCCGGCUGGUAUGGCGAGUGCCGCCGUCCACGUUUCUCUUUCUCANCAAGGAUACGAACCACGCCCGCUCACUUUAAGCGUCGAGCGACACUUAGGUGGUGCGUGCAACCGGAAUGGGCCCGUAGCUCAGGUGGUUAGAGCGCACGCCUGAUAAGCGUGNGG